This 195-nucleotide ribosomal RNA is filed under the name Triticum aestivum (bread wheat). Its description in RNAcentral is "partial small subunit ribosomal RNA". The record is from RNAcentral. Lineage: Eukaryota; Viridiplantae; Streptophyta; Magnoliopsida; Poales; Poaceae.
AUGGAAAAAAUGAAGGACGCGUCGGUACCAAAAGGUGAAGAGCCAAAGUCUGCUGUUGAAAUUGUUGAAGAAGUGCUCAAGACCGAAGUCAAGCAAAGCACAUUCCUCGGGAAUGUUGGGCUCCAGUCAUCUAGGAACAACUCUGGCAAAGCAACUGCUGAAGUGGCUGCUCAUGUUCGUGAUCUUCAGCAGUAG